UACGGGGGGGGCAAGCGUUGUUCGGAAUUACUGGGCGUAAAGGGCUCGUAGGCGGCCAACUAAGUCAGACGUGAAAUCCCUUGGCUUAACCGGGGAACUGCGUCUGAUACUGGAUGGCUUGAGUUUGGGAGAGGGAUGCGGAAUUCCAGGUGUAGCGGUGAAAUGCGUAGAUAUCUGGAGGAACACCGGUGGCGAAGGCGGCAUCCUGGACCAACACUGACGCUGAGUGAGCGAAAGCCAGGGGAGCAAACGGG
Molecule: ribosomal RNA, 254 nt
Filed under: uncultured bacterium
Lineage: Bacteria
Description: partial 16S ribosomal RNA
Rfam family: Bacterial small subunit ribosomal RNA
Source: RNAcentral